Molecule: ribosomal RNA, 119 nt
Organism: Corchorus capsularis
Lineage: Eukaryota; Viridiplantae; Streptophyta; Magnoliopsida; Malvales; Malvaceae
Source: Rfam
GGGUGCGAUCAUACCUGCACUAAUGCACCGUAUCCCAUCAGAACUACGCAGUUAAGUGGACUUGGGCGAGAGUAGUACUAAGAUGGGUGACCUCCUGGGAAGUCCUCGUGUUGCACCCC